UGAUUGAGUGUGUUUAUGGACUUGUAGCCGGGGAGAUACCGGAGCAGCAGCAGUUAGCCCUUAGAGCUAUUCACUCAGCAGCCAGUUCACGAGGUGAGUUUCCCUUCAGUAGGAACGGGUCUACGGCCGCAAUGCCGGCCCGUGUAAUUAUCAGUAGUUCUGGUCUUUAGUCUGAUGCAGUAGCUAGAGUGCUUGAUGUCUUUGUGAUUCAAGCAUAUUCGAGUAUGUGUUCCGGACUUCGGUCCGAUGCAGUAUGCAGUAUAUGUGAUUAUAAUAGUUGUUAUGUGUUAUGCUAUGUCAUGAUCAGUCAGUUCCGGACUUCGGUCCGAUGCAGUCAGUUCCGGACUUCGGUCCGAUGCAGUUAGUUCCGGACUUCGGUCCGAUGCAGUCAGUUCCGGACUUCGGUCCGAUGCAGUUAGUUCCGGACUCUGGUCCGAUGCAGGGGACAAGGUCCCAGUCAGUUCCGGACUUCGGUCCGAUGCAGCUAGUUCCAGACCUCGGUCUGAUGCAGUGGGCAAGGCCCAGUAUGUGAUUUAUAUUUAUUGUAUGGUAUGUGGUAAUUUGGGGGAGCUCACUAAGCUUCGUGCUUACAGUUUCAGUUUUGGUUUCAGGUACUUCCGCUUGUAGAGGGAAGAGCUCGGGAUGAUGGCAUCGCACACACCACAGCUUCAGCUUUUAUCCUGGGAGUUGAUUUGGUUCUUGAUUUUUAUAUGACAUGGAUAUGAUACAGUUUUCCGCACAGUGUUUUUAUUAUUAUUUUGAGAUACAUCAUGUAUGGUUUAUGAUAUGACACUCAGAUUAUGGUUUUUGGUUAUGUUGAAAAACGAAAUUUUUGGGUCGUAUUUUUGGGUCGUUUCAAGUUGGUAUCAGAGCCCUGGUUUGAGGGAUUCGGAUACACUUCCGGGUGUAUCUGAACUCAAACUAAGGGGAAAUAAAAAGUUUUUUAAAAGGAAAAUGUUUUCUAAAAGAAUUUUGAAAGCACUUAGAAAGAAAGAAAUUUUUAAACAAGAUAAGGGUGUGGUGCAUGCGAUCAGCCGAGCUCAAGUAAGUACUCCCAAAUUACCCAUACAAGUUAUUUGUUCAGUUUCAGUUUCAGUAGAACAGCAUGCUAGUAUAGGACUAAGGAUCUAGGAGGAUGCCUUAUGUGCCUGCUUUAUGUGUUACAGCUUUAUGAGUAUUGCAUGCUAGUAUUGAGUAGACAGCAGUAGGAUAGCCUGUUUAGGUUAUGCCUGAUAGUAUGAGCUUAGCACUGUAUGCUAGAUCAGUUUCUCGUUUUGAGAAUAGUUUUGCCUGAGUAUGUUUCCUUUAUCCGAAUGCUGCUUGCUUCGUGCUUUGUGGGAGUUCUGAGUGAUGGAAGUUAGCCAUUAGGUGAACACGUUACACCACAUGUGAUCAGGGUUGAAUAAUCCCAGAGUGCUGGAACUGGCCCUAUUGCGCAGCUCUUGUUUGAGUCCAACCGUUAUAGGGACGGGUCUUUUACUUGAAGGAUUAUCUGAUCUUCGUCACAUGUGAUGGUGUUCAGGUGAUGGUUAAUUAGCAUUAUAAGGAGACCUGCAGCAGCUGAGGACUAGUUGAGUUAAGUCUGAGGUUUCCCUGGGGCAAGCCUAGGAUGAGAGUAGCAGAGAUCAGUAGUAGUAGAAGUGACUUGGUGGAGUCAGGGCAGUUCUUGAAGAAAGUACGGAUAGAUGUGGAAGGUAGUAUGGGCCCGUACUACUGGAAGCAGAGGAUCCGUACUCGAAUCAAGAAAGGCUGAGACAAGACCAGGAAGCUAGUUGUAGUAUCAAUGAUCCCUCGAGAUAUUUCUGUUUUCUGAUGUAGUUGUGAUGUGUUUCAGAAUGGUGGUUUUGCGUUCGAGACCAGCAGCCGGCAGCGGAGGUGCCGGGGAGGGAUCAGGUUCAGGUUCGGGGGAUGAGCGCAUGGAUGAGCAGACCCGAGAGUUUCUUUCUUCGGAGAUUACGCGCAUCAUUAUAGAGCAGACUCCUGUGAUCUUCGGUUCGAUCAAGGAGGGGAUUCUAGAGCUGAUGGAUGAGAGAUUGGGCACCUUCCGUGCCGAGGUGGCGGCCAUGAUGGGGUCGCGCACCCUUACUUUCAGGGAGUUCAGGGCAUGUGGAGCUCCGGACUAUCAUGGGGCGCGAGACCCCAUAGCGAGCACCAGAUGGUUGGCGGAUGUGGCCAACGCUUUCCGCACUAGCAGAUGUCCCGAGGGGGACAAGGUCAGAUUGGCGUCCUGUCUUCUGAAGGACAGGGCACGAGAUUGGUGGGAGGAGGUCGGGCAUGCCAUUGGGGAUGAUGCAGCAUUGGACGCCAUGACCUGGGCUGAUUUCUCUACCAGGUUCAGGGCGGAGUUUGCACCGGUCAUUGAGGUGCAACAGCUAGCUAGGGAGUUUCAGGACCUCACCCAGACUACAGAGACAGUGGCGGAGAUCACCGCCAAGUUCAGGGAGAGGGCUCUUCUCGUUCCUCAGUAUGUAGCUGAUGAGGAAAUGAAGAAGGCCCGUUAUCAUGAGAUGUUGCGGAGCGAUAUCCGCCAGUUUGUGAGCCGGUCCAGCUGUAAAACGCUGGAAGAUAUGAUUGCUAGGGCUCGGGAGAGGGAGAUUGAUCUCGAGAUGGAGAAGAAGAGGAAACCGGAGGCGGUUUCGGGUUCAGGCGGUUCGGGCAAAAAGCCCAAGGUUUCGGAUCACAGAUCUAGGAGUCAGCAGAGCCACGGUCGAUGUGGCAAGUGUGGGAGAUUGCACGAGGGAGCGUGCAAGGCAGGGAGUUCCGGCUGCUACAAGUGCGGUCGGAUUGGGCAUUUGAGUAGGGAUUGUACGGCCCCUGCUACUGCCGUCGCAGCAUCAGAUCUGAUUUGCUUUCAGUGCAAUCAGAGGGGACAUAAAAAGUCCCAGUGUCCGAGUUUAGCUGCAGCAGGGAAGGUGGCUGCACCUGCCCCUGCUACUUUGAGGAUUACAGAUGGCCGGCAGGGCCGAGCUGAUGCGCCAGUGGCGAAGAGUAGGGCGUUUCAGAUGACAACAGAGGAGGCGCGAGCGACUCCUGAUGUGGUGACGGGUAUGUAUCUUCCCUUUAUCUCUUUAUUAUUAUUGAUUGAAUAUUGCUUAUGAUUGUAUGUUUUAUUCAGGGUCGUUCUCUGUGAACGGCAUUUCUGCUAUGGUAUUAUUCGAUUCGGGGGCUACCCGAUCAUUCGUAUCUCUUGCGCUUAGCAAGAGAUUCAGUAGAGCUCCAGGGGAGCUGGAUUGUCCAUUAGAGGUUGAGAUAGCGGAUGAUAGGACCGUGAGGGUCGGCAGAGUGCAUAGAGGGUGUUCUCUUCAGUUAUUUGAUGAGCAGUUUUCAGUGGAUCUGGUACCUAUUCCCCUGCGAGGGAAUAAGGUUAUUGUGGGCAUGGAUUGGCUAAGCCCCAAUGGGGCGGUGAUUGAUUGUGAGCUUCAGCUAGUGAGGGUCCGCACUCCCAGUGGGGGAGAGUUAGUGAUUCAGGGCGAGAGGCCACAGCGGGGACCGACCUUUUGUUCCGCCGCAAGGGCGAGGCGCUAUGUUUAGCAGGGUUGCGCCGGUUUUGUAGCUUACGUCCUGGAUGCCCAGGAGAAGGGCAAGAUGACAGUUGAUGAUGUUCCUAUUAUUCGAGACUACCCGGACGUGUUUCCCGAGGAUUUGCCGGGGAUACCUCCUGAGAGGCAGGUCGAGUUCGGGAUCGACCUAAUUGCUGGUGCGGCUCCGAUAGCCAAAGCACCGUAUCGAUUAGCUCCCCCUGAGAUGCAGGAGUUGUCUACACAGCUGCAGGAGCUGUUAGACAAGGGUUUCAUUCGGCCGAGCAGUUCGCCUUGGGGAGCGCCGAUCCUGUUUGUGAGGAAGAAGGAUGGGUCGCAUCGUAUGUGUAUUGAUUAUCGGGAGUUGAAUAAGGUAACGGUGAAGAACCGUUACCCACUUCCGAGGAUAGAUGAUUUGUUUGAUCAGCUUCAGGGAGCGUCUUGGUUCUCCAAGAUCGAUCUACGCUCCGGAUAUCAUCAGAUGCGGGUUAGAGAUGAGGAUGUACAGAAGACUGCUUUCAGGACCAGGUAUGGUCAUUACGAGUUUGUGGUGAUGCCAUUUGGGCUCACCAAUGCUCCAGCCGCGUUCAUGGAUCUCAUGAACCGCGUGUGUAGGCCGAUGCUGGAUCGGUCAGUGAUAGUGUUCAUAGAUGACAUCUUGGUAUAUUCCAAGACGCAGGAGCAGCACGAGGAACACCUGCAGGAGGUACUGGAGGCUUUGAGGAGGGAGAGACUUUUCGUAAUGUUCUCCAAAUGUGAGUUUUGGUUGCGCGAGGUGCAGUUCCUUGGUCACCUCGUCAACCAGAAGGGUAUUUUGGUAGAUCCGGCCAAGAUUGAGGCCGUAAUGCAGUGGGAGGUCCCGAAGUCUCCAUCUGAGAUUCGGAGCUUCCUGGGGUUGGCAGGGUAUUAUCGGAGAUUUAUUCAGGAUUUCUCCAAGAUAGCAGUGCCGCUCACCCGACUGACCAAGAAGUCAGUGGUAUUUCGUUGGGGUCCGGAGCAGCAGACAGCGUUCGAGACCCUCAGGCAGAGAUUGUGCGAGGCUCCGAUCCUUACCUUGCCAGAGGGAGUAGAGGACUUUGUAGUCUAUUGUGAUGCCUCGAUCACAGGUAUGGGAGCAGUUUUGAUGCAGCGAGGCCAUGUGAUAGCUUAUGCCUCGAGACAGUUGAAGCCUCACGAGGCUAAUUAUCCUACCCAUGAUUUGGAGCUGGGGGCAGUUGUGUUUGCCCUCAAGAUUUGGAGGCAUUACCUUUAUGGGGUCCGUUGUACUAUUUACACGGAUCACAAGAGUUUGAGGUACCUUAUGGAUCAGCCGAGUCUGAAUAUGAGGCAGAGGAGGUGGUUGGAUGUGCUAAAGGAUUACGACUGUGAGAUCCUUUACCAUCCAGGGAAGGCCAACGUGGUGGCCGAUGCCCUGAGCCGCAAAGUGUCGGCGGCCCCUAUCAGGGAUCUAUGUUUGAGGAUGACAGUGAUCACUCCGUUGUUGGAGCGGAUCAAGGAGGCUCAGGUAGAGGGUCUCAAGGAGGAGAGACAGAAGUGUGAGAGGAUCGUGGGCCGAGUAGCCUCGUUUGAUUAUGAUAGUCGUGGUUUGCUGACGCUUCACGGGAGAGUGUGGGUACCGUACUGGGGUGGAGUACGGCAAGUGUUGAUGGAUGAGGCUCAUAAGUCUCGGUUUUCUAUCCACCCAGGGGCGACGAAGAUGUAUCGAGAUCUUCGACCUGAUUAUUGGUGGCCCUGCAUGAAGCGGGACGUCGCCUGGUACGUCGAGAGAUGCCUGACCUGCCGGAAGGUCAAGGCGGAGCACCAGAGACCUCACGGCAGGAUGCAGCCGUUAGACAUUCCCGUGUGGAAAUGGGAGGACAUCACCAUGGAUUUUGUCACCAAGCUUCCCAGGACCGCACGAGGAGUGGAUUCGAUAUGGGUAGUAGUGGAUCGGUUGACGAAGAGUGCCCAUUUUAUCCCGAUCCAGGAGAGUAUAUCGGCGGAGAAGUUAGCCGAUAUCUAUGUGCGUGAGAUCGUGGCACGUCAUGGAGUGCCGGUAUCAGUGGUGUCUGACCGAGAUGUCCGUUUCACAUCCAGAUUCUGGAAGCGGUUCCACGACGAGAUGGGUACUCGUCUCCAUUUCAGCACCGCUUUCCACCCUCAGACAGACGGGCAGAGCGAGAGGACGAUUCAGACUCUCGAGGACAUGCUUAGGGCAUGUGUCCUAGAUUUCGGUGGCAGUUGGGAUACGUAUCUUCCGUUAGCGGAAUUCUCGUAUAACAACAGUUAUCAUGCGAGCAUUGAUCGACCUCCCUUUGAGAUGCUGUAUGGGAGGAAGUGUAGGACCCCGAUUUGUUGGGGCGAGGUCGGUCAGCGGGUCAUCGGGAGCACGGAGGUGGUGCUCAAGACGACUGAGUUGAUCCAGCAGGUCCGUAGUAGACUGCAGACUGCUCAGAGUCGGCAGAAGAGCUACGCCGAUAGGAGGCGUUCGGACUUGGAGUUCCAGGUGGGGGAUAUGGUCCUUCUGAAGGUCUCACCUUGGAAGGGUGUCAUCAGGUUCCGGAAGAGGGGCAAGUUGGGCCCCAGAUUUAUUGGUCCUUUCAGGGUUUUGGCCCGGGUGGGUCGGGUUGCUUAUCGGUUAGAUCUUCCUGAGGAGCUUAGUCAGAUCCACAACACUUUCCAUGUGUCUCAGUUGAGGAAGUGUUUGGUGGAUGAGUCAGCAGUCGUUCCCCUAGAGGAUAUUCAGGUUGAUAGCAGCCUGAAUUAUAUUGAGAGACCGGUCGCGAUUCUGGACCGGAAGACCAAGACCUUGAGGAACAAGGAAAUUCAGUUAGUGAAGGUGCAGUGGCAGCACCGGAAGGGGUCUGAAUGGACGUGGGAGGCUGAGGAGGAGAUGAGGGAGCACUACCCAGAGAUAUUUGCAGAUUCAGCCGUAGCAGACUUCGAGGACGAAGUCUGAGAUAAGUGGGGGAGAAUUGUAACGACCCGUCUCCGGUAUGAUAAUUCCUUGGUAUUUAUUUUGAAGUUUUGCAAGAGGGACUCGGCGAGUUCAUAGCCUGACUCGCCGAGUAGGGUCGGGAUUUCGAGCACGUGUUAGCUGGCGACUCGGCGAGUCCAUAUUCUGGACUCGGCGAGUCUGUCCGUCUGGGAGAAACCCUAAAUCCCCGGGUUGCCCACUAUUUAAGCCACCUUAUAGCCCCCAAUCUCGCCUCCUUCACCCUCAAAAGCUGUGAGAAAACCCUAAUUCGUUCUUGAGUGAUUCUAAGUGAUUUUGUGUGCUAUUGUGAAGGCUUGAAGAAGGAGAAGAAGAAAGGAGCAAGGAGAAGGAUUGUAGAGCAGAGAUUCAAGGGAAAGCAAGAGCUCUUUGAGGUAUUCUUCAGUUUUCCUUCUCUUUUAUGCCUUAAAACCCUUUCUAGAUCUUGUUAAUGCCUUUCUCAAAGCUUUAUGUUGAUAUGGAAGCUCUCUUAUGCCGAGAUAACCUUAGAUCUGUUCAUUUAGGAGUUGUAGAGCCCAGAUCUAUUGCCUUUAUGGAGCUAUUUUGCAUAUUAACCCUAGAUCUACCCCUUUUAAGCAUCUUUUAGCCUUUAUUCCCUUGUUCAUGUGUUUGUACACGUAAAGUUGGAAACUUUACGUGGUAAAUCAGCUUAUUGGACUCAGAUCUAUCAUUUGUAUGUUUUGGAUUCGAGCAGAAUCGAGUGUAGAAUAGUUGCAUGGCGGUGACUCGGCGAGUCGAGUCGCGAGUCCCCGAUUUCUUCCUUUUGAGCGGUGUCGAGUGGGACCAGUGAGUAGUGGAGUGGACUCAGCGAGUUUGAGGGUAGACUCAGUAAUGGAGGGACUCGGCGAGUUGUUCAUACAACUCGGCGAGUCCAAGGCAAUCUUCUUAAACUCAAGAACAACUCGUCGAGUUGUUCAUAGGACUCGGCGAGUCGGAUGAAGAUUGUCUGAGUUCUUGGAUCGGGAGAGUACUCGUCGAGUCGAUGCCAUACUCGACGAGUAGCAGCGAGCAGGGUCGAGGAGUGAGAAUAGGGGCUCGGCGAGUUGGCGGCCCAACUCGGCGAGUCAGGUCAACUGUGGGUUGACUUUGACGGAGAGUUGACCUUGACCAACAGUUGACUUUGACCAAGGGUAAAAGAGUCAUUUUACCCAGUGCAGUGUUUAGUAUAUGAUUGAGUGUGUUUAUGGACUUGUAGCCGGGGAGAUACCGGAGCAUAAGCAGUUAGCCCUCAGAGCUAUUCACUCAGCAGCCAGUUCACGAGGUGAGUUUUCCUUCAGUAGGAACGGGUCUACGGCCACAAUGCCGGCCCGUUUAAUUAUCAAUAGUUCCGGACUUUGGUCUGAUGCAGUAGCUAGAGUGCUUGAUGUCUUUGUGAUUCAAGCAUAUUUGUGUUAUGUGCUCCGGACUCUGUUCCGAUACAGUAUGCAGUUUAUGUGUUUAUAAUAGUUGUUAUGUUUUAUGCUAUGCCAUGAUCGGUCAGUUCCGGACUUCGGUCCGAUGC
This 7993-nucleotide long non-coding RNA is filed under the name Lactuca sativa (garden lettuce). RNAcentral's name for it is "long non-coding RNA (LSAT_LNC003139)". The record is from RNAcentral. Lineage: Eukaryota; Viridiplantae; Streptophyta; Magnoliopsida; Asterales; Asteraceae.